GGAUUGCCCUAGUAACGGCGAGUGAAGCGGCAACAGCUCAAAUUUGAAAUCUGGCUCUUUCAGAGUCCGAGUUGUAAUUUGCAGAGGGCGCUUUGGCUUUGGCAGCGGUCCAAGUUCCUUGGAACAGGACGUCACAGAGGGUGAGAAUCCCGUACGUGGUCGCUAGCUAUUGCCGUGUAAAGCCCCUUCGACGAGUCGAGUUGUUUGGGAAUGCAGCUCUAAAUGGGAGGUAAAUUUCUUCUAAAGCUAAAUAUUGGCCAGAGACCGAUAGCGCACAAGUAGAGUGAUCGAAAGAUGAAAAGCACUUUGGAAAGAGAGUCAAACAGCACGUGAAAUUGUUGAAAGGGAAGCGCUUGCAGCCAGACUUGCUUGCAGUUGCUCAUCCGGGCUUUUGCCCGGUGCACUCUUCUGCAGGCAGGCCAGCAUCAGUUUGGGCGGUGGGAUAAAGGUCUCUGUCAUGUACCUCUCUUCGGGGAGGCCUUAUAGGGGAGGCGACAUACCACCAGCCUAGACUGAGGUCCGCGCAUCUGCUAGGAUGCUGGCGUAAUGGCUGUAAGCGGCCCGUCUUGAAACACGGACCAAGGAGUCUAACAUCUAUGCGAGUGUUUGGGUGUCAAGCCCGAGCGCGUAAUGAAAGUGAACGGAGGUGGGAACCCGCAAGGGUGCACCAUCGACCGAUCCUGAAGUUUACGGAAGGAUUUGAGUAAGAGCAUGGCUGUUGGGACCCGAAAGAUGGUGAACUAUGCUUGAAUAGGGUGAAGCCAGAGGAAACUCUGGUGGAGGCUCGCAGCGGUUCUGACGUGCAAAUCGAUCGUCAAAUUUGGGCAUAGGGGCGAAAGACUA
This 843-nucleotide ribosomal RNA is filed under the name Exserohilum rostratum. RNAcentral's name for it is "partial large subunit ribosomal RNA". It matches the Rfam family "Eukaryotic large subunit ribosomal RNA", at positions 72 to 933 of the family's 3401-position model. Lineage: Eukaryota; Fungi; Ascomycota; Dothideomycetes; Pleosporales; Pleosporaceae. The record is from RNAcentral.